Molecule: long non-coding RNA, 9689 nt
Filed under: Homo sapiens (human)
Lineage: Eukaryota; Metazoa; Chordata; Mammalia; Primates; Hominidae
Description: HSALNT0300774
Source: RNAcentral
GCAUUAUAUCCUUUUAAUACAGAGAGGAAAGGAACCUCAGGGAUCAAGUUCAAUGCCUUUCAUUAUUUGAAUUUUAAAGUCAUCUUGACACGGUUAUGGAAUCCUGGAUUUGUGAGAGAAUUAUUGGGUUCCAGAUCUAAAAUCACCAGGAUUUAUCAAGUAUGGUGCCUGACGCAUAGUAAGUAUUUUUUUAAUGCUUGUUCCAUUAAAGUAACCGAACCACAUCUUAUAUUUGGCAAUUUGAUUACCUGCUCUGAGCUUUGUUUUUAAUAUGUGUACAACACAAAUUAUAUCACAAGGUAAAAUAAAUUCGCCAAGCUUUAAGCUCCCUAGAGUGUUUUACAGUGAUUUCUGAGAGUUCUACAUGGUACAUCUCAGAUGCUCAGAAAUCCUUUUCUCUUUCUUCAGCCUCCUCCUUCAGCUGCCCUGAGGCUGCCUUUGCUGGCUGCUUCUGCUACUGCUGCUCUGAGAAAGGGAACCGUGUUCUUGGUGUUGUGCUCUAUCCCUUUAACUUCUCACUGGUCUGCAGAGACCAGGCAGUAUCAGUUAAUUGGAUUUUAUCAAAAAUCCUCUGAUACUAUAUGAGGGACACAAUCUAGAGAAUCAUAUGCAGCCCUGCAGCUUUCUCCAGCCAGUCACAGAGUUGGUAUUCAAAAACUAAGAAUUACUGAUGUGCUCAGUAAUAGAAGCACUCUGAAACAAGAAAGCAGAUGUCCCAAUCCAGACCAAUUUUCCUCUUGAUGAAGCAUUAGAGAUUGAGUUCAGAACCACAUUUUUAUCCUUCAUAGUCCAUUGUCAGUAAUCAUGUAACGCGCUCUUCAUGGGUCUCAUUCCUAUACAUUUCAGAAUGUAGCUUCUAUUACUCUCAAUCAGUCUUUUUAUCAUCUUCUCCAAAUCUAGCUAAAGACUUCCUUCCAGGCAGUGUUGUAGGUGCUGUAAGGCUAGAGAAGACAAUCUAUGAGGCUGAAAGGUGGCAGGUUCGUAGGAAUCAGUCACAGAAAUCUGGACCAAUGUCAUGGAGUUCAGGGGACCAAAACACUUCUCACUGAGAGCACUGGAGAAGAAUUCAUAGAGGAGGAGGAGUGAAGCUGCGGACCUUCGCGGUAGGGAGGUAUGUUUAACAAGUGAAAUUACUCACAAACUCCAUUGUGAACAAUAUUUUCUAAUGACCUAUGCAUUGAUUUAUUUUUCUGUGGGGAGGGUAGCAAGGCUGGUGGAAGACAUACACAUGAAAUCUUACGAUAAAAUUAGCCUCAACCUUUAUUAUCAAGUAUCUAUAUCAAUAAGAUUAAAUAGCAGAGAAAGCUGCAGAGAGAGAUAAGAAUGAAGCAGCCCCGUUUUGAGCCCUAGCUGCACACCUGCUCAUGGUUCAGUGAAGCAUGCCUGUAUCCUGCGAGUUCUAACUAAUAUAUCCCUUUAACGUCAGCUUAAGAGCUAGAUCCCAUUCGAAAAGCAGAUCUCUGUAAGCAUGGGAGGUGGAGAGGAAAGGCAGCAUAUGUCAUUAUUUGUGAUAUAGACUCAUCCAAUCUUAAAACUGCAAUAAUUUUUAAAGAGCUUCUACUUUAGCCUCAUUUUAUUGGCAGUGAUAUUGAAUCUCAAAAAGAGGAAACACAUUUUACCAGUUUUAUUUAUUCCUAAAGAUUUGCCUUAAAUGUCACCUCAUUUAUAUAAUAUUUACAGAAUAUCACAAUCAAAACUAAAUUCUCUCCUUUGUACUCUAUGAAUUUGGAUUUGACAUAUUAAAGAUUGAAUCACUAUCUUUUUAUUAGAAUUCCCUGUGUAUAUGUCUAUUCCUCCUGCUCCUGAGUUCUGGUGGCUCAGAGAAUGUGUUGUUUGUUGUAUCCUCAAUAAGAACCUGAUAUCCAAGGGCUUGGACUAUAGCUGUUUAAUGAACUGAAAUAACUGGACCCAUUUACCAUCAACAUUUGGGCAUCAAGGAUAGAUUUAAGAAAGACCCUAAAAACGUUAAUAAAAACAAAAUUUAAGAUGGAAAUUAUUUUCUGGAGCUUUAAACUCUUAAAAUAACAACAAUAAUCACUACUUAGUUAUCACUUACAUGUGCUAGCACUUAACAUAUGUGAUUUCUAAUAUCACAAAAACCCUAUAAAACUGGAAGAACACAAACGGCAAUAGGCCUUCUAAAAAUUCUUGUUAGGGAAAACAGAUUUAUGGAAUAAAGCUUAUGCAUUUAUACAGAGUUGCUUGAUUUAAAUUUCAAAGCUGAAGGUUAUAGAUGUAGUAUUUCAACCCAUUUCCAUCACUUCCUCCAUUCCCUGCCAAUCACCAUUGUACUGUGUUUCUCGAAGUUUGAUCUUUGAAGAUUCCACAUAUAAAUGAUAUCAUAAAAUAUUUGUCUUUCUGUGCCUGGCUUAUUUCACUUAAUAUAACCUCCUCCAGUUUCAUCCAUGUUGUCACGACAGAAUUUCCUUUUUUAAAAAAAGGCUGAAUAAUAUUCCAUUAUGUAUACAUGAAAUAGAUAAUUCCAUGAACAGAACUCUAAAACUAAUAUAUAACUAACACCUUGAGUAAGCAAGACUUUUUGAUAUUUAAGUGGUUUUGGUGAGAAACUUUCUAGAGUCAUUAAACAUUACCUUACUUUAACAAACAGUAGGAAACUAAGAACUAAUAGAAACUAGGAAUCUUGACUAGUUUCCUUGCCUAGAGGAAUCAUUGUAAGUAAUUAUUAUACUUUCAUGUCACAUGUGAGUGCUCUGGUAGCUGGAUGUGCAGUUUUUGAGUGUGAGGAGCUAUUAAGAGCAAUCUAAGACUAAAAUGGAAGAUUUCAGGGAUUCUAGAAGAUAAUAUCUUAGCUGUGGUUUGCAGUUUAUGGUAACAUUAAAUUCAUGCUACCCAUAAUAAAUUGCGGAUCCCAGUUCAGAAAAAUAUCCCAAGCUCCUCUAAGUCAGACCCUUUGAUUUCAAGGAGAAAAGGAUGUCAUUUUAUAGCAAUUCUCCGUAUCUCACCAUGGAGGGAUGUCUUAUUACACAAUGUAGGCGUGAGGAACCAGAGUGUGAGGAAAAGAGAUUAAGCCUAGGGAAAUCUGACUGACUAUUAUUUUAACCUGGGUAGUGAGUGAAUUAUUUUAACCUGGGUAGUGAGUGAAUUAUUUUAACCUGAGUUGUGAGUGAAUUCUCUUCUUUGUGGAUUUUAUAUUUUGUAAGCUCUGCUCUCAUAGAAGGACUUUAAAUUAGAUCCUUACUAUGACUAGUAAAAAAUUGAGUUUUUAAAAAAGAACUCCAUCUUUACUUGCUGUCCCCCAGCUUAACUUAGCUUCACUAAAUGCCUUCUUGAGAAAGCAGAACUACCCUUCUGGUUGAGAGAAAAAUUGUUACUAGUUUCUGGUAACCAUUUACCUGAGAUACUCUGUAGAGGAAUUCAAUUAAACCCGCAAAUAUUGACUCGGUGUCUAGUCUCAUUGGGACACAUUAGCAGGGAGGUGGGGUGUAAUAGGCAGGGUGAAAUGAGAGGAAAUAAAAAAAGCCACUGAGCUAUACUGCAGAGUCAGCUGAAUUAUUAUGAACUCAUCUUUCAUUUUCCUGCCAUCAGUUAUGUGCAAAUUAGACAAUCUCUUAUGCCUAUAAAUUGCUUAAACUAAGUUUGUGCUGCAAAUGGUGCCAGUGGCUUUAGAUGUGGCUGUCUCAGCUGAUAAUGAGGUUUACAGGGUCUGUGAGGAUUAUUUUCUAGAGCAGGCAAAGUCUGCAGCAAUCAAACCUGAAAUGCUUCUUAGAUAAAAAUGUGUGACUUCACUGGUCUCAGGUACUCAAAUAUCAGAAUUUUUUUUAAUCCCUGGUUCUCUUUAACUUUUUAUGGACUUCUUAUGAGGUUGGUAGUCCAAAGCUACUAUUAGUCAGUCCAGUGGUAGCUGCCUGUUGGGCUAAGUAGUCUCUGAGAAAAACAACAGAGUAAAUGAUCUAAUAAUUAACUGGGUUACUUUUCAUAAGGUCUCUUGAUCUGAUAAUGGUAGCAGGCCCAGCCAAACCUAUAAGUAAGAUUCUAAUGCAGAAAUCAAAAGACAUUUAUCUAGCUCUUCAUGUGGAAGAAUUUGGAGAAAGAAGGCAAAUAAAUGCCUGAUACUCCAUUCACAAGUGUGUUCGUACCUGUGAAGCUGAGAGCAGCACAGGGUGAUGUGGUAGGAAGUGCGUGAGCUUCUCAGUCAGGCUCACCUGGGUGAACUGGCUCAGCUGCUCUCAAGCCAUCAAAACUUCAUCUUGAUCUUGAGCUGAGUGCAAACGCCAACCCUCAGUUUUCUCAUUUGUAAAGGGGAUUUAGUAAUAGUUACAUAAUAUUCACUCACUUCAAUCAUUCACAAGUCAACAGAUAUUUACUGAAUACCUAUUAUGAUACAGACAUUAUUCUAAUUAUUAGGAAUGCAGCCAAGGAUAAAAAUAACAAUAUAUGGUUACUAUCUCUAUGGACUUGAGGUGUACUGAAGAAGACAGCAUUUUAUAGAUAAUUAUGCAAAUAAUUAAAAUGUUGAUGAAGGCUAUGGGGGAUGAUAUAGUUAAAUAUUUGUCCUUGGUCAAAUCUUAUGUUGAAAUAUUAUAAUCUCCAAUAUAUUGGAAAUAUUAGAGGUGGGGACUAGUGGGAGCUGAUUGGAUCAUGGGGGUGGAUCCCUCAUCUAUGCCUUAGUGCUGUACUCAUGAUAGUCAGUGAGUUCUCAUGACACCUGGACAUUUAAAAGUGGGUGGCACCUCCCCUGUCACAUUCUCUGUUGCUCCUCUUCUCUCCGCGUGAGUGCCUGCUUCUACUUUGCCUUCUGCCAUGAGUAAAAGCUCCUUGAGGCCUCUCCAGAAGCUGAGCAGAUGCCAGUGCCAUGCUUAUACAGCCUGCAGAACCGUGAGCCAAUUAAACCUCUUUUCUUUAUAAAUUACUCAGUUUCAGGUAUUUCUUUACAGCAACAAAAGAACAGCCUAAUACAGGAAAAUGAAAACAUCUUGAUUUGGGGGAAUGUUUGGGAGAUCAAAAUAUCUUGAUUUGGGGCAUGUUCGAAAUCAAAAAUCUUGAUUUUGGGGCAAUCAAAAAGUUCUAAAAUUGAGACAAAAAGGAUGAGCAGGGUGAGUUGCCUUACGGGGUUGUUGAGAGGAUAAUGGACUUUGCUUAUUGGAGUGCCUAGCAUAGCAGCUGGGACAUGGUACUCAGUGAUAACAAUGAGAACGAUAAUAUUGGACUCGGUGACUGCCCACUUCAGUCACUUUGGGGUAUUCCAAGAAGUGAGUGUCCCCAUCAUCUUUCCCUUUCCCAGCUCAGAUCUCUUCCUAGGGCACAAAGCCCUGCUUCCCAGGAUUAGACGGAAAAUCCACAGAGAUUUAUUCUAAGUUACUCCAUGCUAUGUUGUUAUUGAAUAAUGUAAACUCAGUCCUGAGACUGAUAGAAAUAACACAGGAAUCAGUUAUUCCAAUCUAUGCUAAGUAACUAAUAAUUGAUAUAAUAUCCCAUCCUGAGAGCAGCUUUUAUUAAAGGGGAGAAAACAUAAGAAUGAUUCCUGAGAAUGGAAGAAAAAUGAUUCCUGAGAAUGGAAGAGGCAGCGCAUAGUGGGAGUAUGUGUGUGAAGGGGAGGAAGGGGUAGAGAAUGUCAAACAGAGAUCCUAGGAGCUCUCACACUGAGGUAAUAGGAAAAGGUGGGGGUGUCUGAAAGCAUGCUGGUGCUUCCUGAUGAAUUUAUCCAGGAAGCCUGUAGGAUGUCUAUUUUCUGAUGGCAAAAGUGGUUCCUGCCACAUUCACGAUCCAUGAAAUUUUUUAGUUAAACAUGACCACAUCAGUGGUCCCUCAUGUUUCUUUGGAGUUUUGAACUGAGGUUAUUCCACAGUCACAUCACCUCUGUUCGUCUCCUCCAUCCUGGAGACCACUGACUGGUGCCAACUGUGCCAGUAAGAAGACAUUGUUUCUGUAUUGUUGGGCCUUCUGAAGACCGAGAGAAAACUAGACUCAUCUUUCCAUCUGCCAUCUAUCUAGACUUUUUGAGCACCUGUUAAUUCUUGGUCCUGAGUUAGAAGUUGUGGAUAAAGAAUAAAUCAAAAAGAGUUUCUGCUCUCAGAGAGUUUACAAUCUAGUGUUUCAAUGGAGCAAAGUAGCAGGACCUGUGAGAGCACAGAUGAAGAAAUGACUAACUUGGCACAGUGUACUGGGAAAAGGAAGGUAUUUGCAUAGACCUUGAAAUGAGGUCUGCCUACCAGAAAGGUGGGUGAUGUAUUCUAGGCAGAGCAUAUCCUGUGAAAAUGCCCAGCAGAAUGAGAAAGAACAUAUUUGUUAGAUGAAGUGAUCCAUGAAACAGACAUAUUUAAGAAUCAUUAGUUUAAUUAAAUGUAUUCUGUUUUGAGUCCCUUUGAGUGGUGCAGAAAGAGAGAAAAGGAGAAAGAGAGGGAAAGAAAGAGGGGGAAGGAGGGGGGAUAAAGGGAAAAGGAAGAUUUGCUGUGAGCCAGGUUGAGUCAGUGCCGUGCCCUGUAAGGGAGCAUAAACAUCUUCAGGUAUAACCCAAGCCACGGGCUCCAAAUGCGGAGUUUGAAUACAAGAAGCAAAAUAUAGUCUUUUGAAAUCUUCUUUUUCCUUUUCUUUGUUAAGCCAAAUAAUACAAUUUGCUACACACAUUUCAAGGUAGCUUAGAAAUGGAAUAGCUUCACCACGAGCCUUUCUGCAGAGGACAGCCUGAGAGUCAAGUGAGAAAGUGACAGCCAGAAGCUAGUCCAUCUCAGGCAACAGAGGAAAUCUACUGCAUUGCAGAGUCCCAGGGACGACCUAAUGGAAAACAACAGCGAGAGUGUGAGCCAGGGCUCUGCUGGUGGAGUGGGGAAAUGCAGCUGCAAUUCCAGGACACACAGAGACUGCACAUGUGCAGAAGCAUGCAGAGAGAAUGUUUGCAUCUUUCCUGUAAGGCAUGGCUUGACUUUGCUUCUAUGAGACACUGACUGAGUGGAUUAGAAUCUCUCCAUGGUUUAUCAUUCCUGCUUACUGGAUGAAACCAGGUCUGGAAUCAGCAAAAACUGAAAUCCUCAAUCAUUGUUUCACAAAUGUUCUACACAUUGGAAUCACCCUAUGAGUUUUUAAAAAUGCUAACAUCUGUGUGGCAUCCCCGGCAAGUCUGAUUUAGUUGAUAUAGGGUGCAUCCCAGGCAUUCAGAGUUUCAUACAUUCCCCAGCUGAUUCUAAUGGGCAACAAAGCUUGAGAACUGUUGAUAUUUUGAUCCUUGCUAUUCAAAUAUAGCUCAUGAACCAGUAGCAUUAGGAGCCCCUGGAGCUUGUUAGAAAUGUAUGUAGAAUCUCAGCCCCCUUUCUGAACUCUGUCCUACUGAAUCAGAAUCUGCAUUUUAACAUAAUCCUCAGAUAGUCCUGUCCCAUAUUAACGUUUGAAAAGCACUUGUGUAAAUUAGUGAUUUUUUAAACUUUUAUUUUAAGUUCAAGGUCACUUUUGGCAUCUUUGUUAUGAAAUCUUUGCCUGUUGCUAAGUCUAGAAUGGUUUUCUUCCAGGGUUUUUAUCGUUUUGGGCUUUACAUUUAAGUCUUUAAUCCAUCUUGAGUUAAUUUUUGUGUAUCGUGUAAGAAAGGGGUCCAGUUUCAAUCUCCCACAUAUGGCUAGCCAGUUAUCUCAACACCAUUUAUUGAAUAGGGAAUCCUUUCCCCAUUGCUGGUUUGUGUCAGCUUUAUCAAAGAUCAGAUGGUUGUAGGUGUGGGGCCUUAUUUCUGGGCUCUCUAUUCUAUUCCAUUUGUCUAUGUGUCUAUUUUUGUACAAGUACCAUGCUUGGUUUUGGUUACUGUAGCCCUGUAGUAUAGUUUGAAGUCAGGAAUCUCCCCAGCUCCUUUUCGCACAUGUAGUCAAACCCAACUAAAUCUGGUGUUUAAGACCCUCUGCCACCCCACAUUAUCUUUUUUACUUUUCCUAAGCUCUCAGUCCUCAGUCCACUGGACUAAUUCCUGCUCCUGAAACACAUACUGAGCUCUCCCUUUCCUGUCUUUGCUCAGAAUCCCUUCCCUUUGCUCUGCACUGCCCACCUUAGUAAUCAUCCAACAUCCAACCUGAGUGCAACAUCUCCAUGCAGCUUCACCAGCUGCUGCCGUCAGAUCAUCAUAAUCAACUCUUCUUUCUCAUGCUUGCCACCUCUAUAAUCCCAUCUGCCUUCUGUUGGAACUCCUUGGGGAGAUGUUGACACAUUCUUCUUGAUGGUGUCUUCUUGGCAGCAGGGGAGCAGAACUCUAAGGCUACAACUUAAUUACAGGGUGAUAUCCACUAAGAUUCUUUCCUUUCUUAUCAGACUCACAUUUAAGGUCCAAAAUGAGAAUGACAAGUGCUAAACAUCUCACAUUUUAAGUUUCCUAGCUAUCACCAGUUGGGGCAGCCACCUUCCUGGAAGAUUUCCUGAAAGACACCAGAACUAACCCAACCAUCACAGGCCCUGCAAUAUAGCAGCUUCUCAACCAACAUGGGGCUAAACAAGGAAGAGGAAACUGCAUUUUGAAGGAUGUUACUUUCUGCAGAAAAGUGCUCCUCUUUCUACAAGGUAGUGAAGAAGAUGACUUCCAGGAGAAUCUCUCCAAAUGAUGUGGAGAGCCUGUGAGAUGGACACUGUCAUUUUCUGUCCUUCUUUGCCUUAUUUGCUGGUGAACUUGACUAUCACCCACCCGCCAUGCAGCCUACAUAGCCCAAAAGAGAAUUAGAAGACAGAUCAUGAAACUGAGUAGGGGGAGUUGAAGCAAUGCAGUGAGCAUUCUCACUCUCCGUCCUGAUAAGAAUAUAAAUUCCCUAAGAGCUUAGUGAAGACUGUGGAACAUAGCUUGGAUUUAACUGUCACUUAUGAGUUCAUCCAGGAUGGUCACCUGCUGGGAGAUUGGGCUCUGGCAUCAACAGGGCAAGGGGUAGACCUUCUUUUGGUCCAUAAAGGGAAGAUGGAUGAGCAGUUCUCCUGAUGAAAAAGAUAUUCUGAGGAUGUGGCAAUUAGGGGCAUGAGGGGACAGGUCUGAACAUCAGAAAGAAACCAAGAGGAUUUAUCAGUGCUUCAGCAAUUCCACCCCGAAGUAGGUGAUAGGGCAACCAUGGAUGCCACAGGGAGUGCAUGUUUGUAAGUGGUGUGAGUACUGGGGAUUGAUGAGUGUUUCAGCAAUGCCAUCCCUCUCCCUCUUGGGAGAGGACACACUGGGACAGGAUCUUCUACGUCAGUGUGGUGGAAAGAACCUCUGGAAGGCUCACUCAUAUAUGCUACCCCCACCCCUCUGGAAAUUCACCCAAAGAACCUCAAUGGCCAUUAGCAUGAGAAGUAGCAAUGGCCAAAAAAGAAGGAUUAUAAUGUUUCCAAUCAAGUAAGAGAAAGAUACUGGACCUUGCUCUGUCCAACCGUCAUUGCUCAGGAUCUGCCACAUCUGAGAGACUGCUGCCUGGAAGAGGGAGAGGGAUGUCAGGCUGUCCAAAAGGCAGGCCAACCUCCUCACUGCCCUCCCCAGCACCCACUCUGCACUGCAAGCUGGAGUUCUAUCCUGUAUUGGCAAAGGAGAAAAGAAGAGCUUUGAUCAAGAAUGAGCUCAUAAUAUUUAAAUGAAGCCUGUAUGCCAGAAGUUUGUGUACCAGAAUAAGACUCCCCUAAUAACUUUUAAGUGACCAAAAAGUCAAGGCAUCAGACCAAAAUGCCACAUCAAGGGAGGUAUUACCCAUUAGGAAAGGGGAGUGACACAGCACAGUUGGGAAACAGGUUUUGGAGUAACAUAAAGC